GCCCGUCAUGGAGAAGCGGCGCCGAGCGCGCAUCAACGAGAGCCUCGCUCAGCUCCAGAGCCUCCUCCUGGACGCCCUCAGGAAAGAGGCUAGCUGUCCUUUGCUGUGGAGAGGCCAACAGAGUGUGGUGUUUAGAAGCAGAUCUUCCAGCCCUGUCGAGCCUUCAGAUGAGACCCCAGCCACUGCCGGCAUCUCAAGGGCAACCUUGAGAGACUGAGAGCCAGAACCACCCAGCUGAGCAGCUCCUCGACUGCUAUCCCUCAGAAACUGUGCGAGAUAAUAAACGUCUGUUGUUUUAAACUGCUGAAUGGUAGGUUAAUUUGUCAUGCAGCUAUAAAUAACGGUAAUGUUUUAUGUAAAAUUAAAAUAAAUAUAAAUAACAAUAGCAAUAAACAAUGUGCCCACCGCCACCCAGGGCCACCACCACGUGCCCACUUGACGGGGUUGUGGAAGAGGUCAGGCGGGGUGGGACCCAGAAACAGCCGUUGAAGCUGUGGUGAGGAGAGGAGUGGGUUGGCCUGAUGUCUGCCUGGAAGUCGCUUCCCUGUGAGCUCCAGCUGGGGGUGCAGGGACAGCCAAGGCCUAUCCCUGUGGCUUCUGGGCAGGGCAGGGGCCCAUUUCUGUUCUGGUAACUGACAGGGCAUGGCGUUGGGGAUUCAUGGGCCCCAGACUUCAAACAAGGACAGGUGUGGGAGAUGGUCUGUGCUGAGACCCACAGAACCCAACCUGCCCCACGGCCACACUGACCUGCCCUCAAUGGGCAUGUUAGCCCUUUUUGCAGCCUGGUAGCUAUGGUGACCAAGAAGCAACUGGCUGCUGCUGCUUCAAAGGUGUCUCUUCCUGGUGGACUGCCUGACCCUGACACCCAUCUGGUGGCUUUGGGCUCCCACUUCAGAGAAGGAAUCCCCAUGUCUGUGUGGGGGAGGUGGGGGCCCACUUCCUGCCUUCCCAUCCUUACUCACGAGUGGGCCAGAGGCUGGUGGGGAGGAGGGCUUCCCAGCUGCACCCUUUCCCUCACCCAUGGUCCCCCCAGCACCCCUUGCCUUGUCUAGCACAGUGGGGUAGGGCUCAGCAGCUCUGGGUGUGGGGAGACAAGUCUGUACUCUCCUGGCCCCUACGCCCACCCCCCAACAUAUGAGCUGACCACGGCCUGGGCCAUACACGUACAUCCAGGGGCCGGGGGCUGGCCCGGCUCCAGCCGGAGCACCCCCAGCUCCUGGCCCUCCCUUUUCAUGGCCUCUCAAGGCCCCAGGCCUUUGGGGCCCUGGGCUUGGGCUUUCCCUGCCAGCCUAAGGUCAGAAAAGUGUUAGGCAAGACCUGGCCAAGCUUCUUCCUCUACUUGGAUCAGGAGGCUGGCUCUGGACGAAAUGCCAGGUGGCACAGGGCAUCAUCUGGCUGUGUGUACAUGGGACUUUCUUCUCUCUGUGUCCCUAGGAGUUUGCUUUGUUGAAUUAAGAGGUGAGGGUAACAUCCCAGGACUGAGCUGACCGGUCUGCCCACUUGGAGUCUGCAAUCUUUGGUUGGACUUUUCCAGAGCAGAGACCAGGUCCAAUGGACUAAAUGUUUGUGUCCCCAACCCUCGCCGCCCACCCCCCACUUCCCUGCUAAUUCGUAUGUUGAAACCUACCCCCCAAGGUGGUGGCCUUAAGAGGGGCCUCUGGGAGGGGAUGGGGUCAUGGAAUGGGAUUAGUGCCCUUACAGAGGGACGAGACGGGAGCGCUUUCGCCCACUCUGUUGGCCAUGUGAGGACACAGCCGGAAGGCAGGCUUCACGCCUGGAAGAGGUCCUCACAGGAACCCGCCCGUGCUGGUACCAGCCUCUGGGUUCAUGAUGAAUACAUUUCUUUCUUUUUUUUGUUUAUAAAUUUAUUUAUUUAUUUGUUUUUAUUUUGGACUGCGUUGGGUCUUCGUUGCUGUGUGUGGGGGCUUUCUCUAGUUGCCGCGAGCGGGGGCUACUCUUCGUUGCGGUGCGCGGGCUUCUCAUUGUCAUGGCUUCUCUCAUUGCAGAGCAGGGGCUCUAGGCAUGUGGGCUUCAGUAGUUGUGGCACGCGGGCUCUAGAGCACAGGCUCAGUAGUUGUGGUGCACGGGCUCAGUAGUUGUGGCUCGCGGGCUCUAGAGCGCAGGCUCAGUAGUUGUGGCGCACGGGCUUAGUUGCUCCGCGGCAUGUGGGAGCUUCCCAGACCAGGGCUCGAACCCGUGUCCUCUGCACUGGCAGGCAGAUUCUCAACCACUGCGCCACCAGGGAAGCCCGAUGAAUACAUUCCUAUUAUUGAUUUGUCCUGUUGCAGCAGCUGGGCUGACCAGGACACCUGGGCUUGAUGUUACCAAGCAGACUGGAGGCUGAAGGUAGUGGCCGACUUUCCAGAAAUCGCUGGGACAAACGCCUGCCCCCUGGUGGGGACAGAAACUAAAGUUUCGGGUGUCUGGGCUGAUGCUCCUUGUUCACGGGGUCCCUCCCUGCAGCACAGAUUUGACUUGUGUGGUAAAGGCAGCUUCUUCCUGGGUGGGGAAGAGUCCCAGCUUGAGCCCAGAAUCCUGGGGAAGAUCUGGGCACCCCAGCGUGGAGCUCGGGAGUGUGUGUGGAGUAAAUGGGAUGAUGCCUGUAACGUGUCAACGAAAAUUCAAUUAACCAUCAAGGUAAGAAGAAAAAAAGGGAAUUUUAUUGGAGCCAAACUGAGGACUAUAACCUGGGAAGCAGAUUCUCAGAAAACUCUGAGAACUGUUGCGCCUGUCAGAAGUAGAAUGCAUAGUCAUACACUGUUUUUUGGCUUUUGGGUUUUUUUUUGGCCAUACUGCACAGCUUGUGGGAUCUCAAUUCCCUGAUCAGGGGUUGAACCCGGGCCAUGGCAGUGAAAGCUCGGAAUCCUAACCACUAGGUCACCAAGGAACUCCCCUCAUGUAUGUUUUUGAGACAAAGGCUCUCACAUCAAAAUGAUCUACUGAUAUUUUACAUAAAGGUCACUAAGGAUACAUAGUCCAGGUAAACAUCCACAAAGGAGCAGCAAGUCACCAUGACCCCCUCCAGAAUUGGGAAAGAACUCUAUUCUUUUUUUUUUUUUAGAUGAUUUUUUUAAGAUUUAUUUUUGGCUGCAUUGGGUCUUUGUUGCUGCGCACGAGCUUUCUCUAGUUGCAGCGAGCGGGGGCUACUCUUCGUUGCGGUGCGCGGGCUUCUCAUUGCGGUGGCUUCUCUUGUUGCGGAGCACGGGCUCUAGGCGCGUGGGCUUCAGUAGUUGUGGCUCCUGGGCUCUAGAGCGCAGGCUCAGUAGUUGUGGCUCAUGGGCUUAGUUGCUCCACGGCAUGUGGGAUCUUCCCAGACCAGGGCUCGAACCCAUGUCCCCUGCAUUGGCAGGCGGAUUCUUAACCACCGAGCCACCAGCGAAGCCCAGGGACUCUAUUCUUUAAGAAGUUACAUUACUGGCAUCAGAAGAAAAAAAAUCGAUCUUUCCGGUGGAGCAGGCGCCCCACCUUGGAGGAGCUCCGGUUCGGGUGUGAUGCACAAGGCCGGUGAGGGAGGGAGGAGGCGCAAACAAACACACGGAGAGAAUCUUAUGUUUAAUUUUCUCUUGUCCUGUCUUAAAACAUAAGGUGGUUUCUUUUGGCCGUGCUGCAGGGCUUGCAGGAUCUUAGUUCCCCGAUCAGGGAUCGAACCCGGGCCCCCGCAGUGAGAGUGCCGAGUCUAACCACUGGACCGCCAGGGAAUUCCCAAAAUAUAAAUUUUAUUUCAUCAAGUGUCCCAGCCCCAAUGGGUGCCUAGAGCUCGGUGGCUGUGCUGACAGGGCCCGCAGCUGUGACCGGUGCAGCUGUGACGCUGCUGCAGGUUCCUCAGCUACGUCACUGGAACCAGUGAUGUGGCCUUGAGGGAAGUCAGGAGGAGGGAAGGGGAAAGGGACACAGUUACCACUUGUUCCUGGAGCACACCUGCCUCUGGGCUCUCAGUAACCAGCCCACCAGAACUAGUCUCCACCUGGGCAGGUAACUGAGGAGAACAAAUGCACCGAGCCAGAGACCCACCAUCUCAUGGUCAGGACACACAGUCAAUAAAUCGAGUCGGACACAGAGGCCUCUCAGAGCCGGCCAGGGCCCUCCCCACAGAGACUCAGGCCUCUUCAGUCUGCUCUGUGUUUGGAGUACCUGCAGGUCCACACCCUGCCCCCACAUUCCACGCGGGGCGCCUGUGCAGGACAGCCUCGAGCUCCCCACCAGUGGUUCAGGGAUGCGCCUGACACAGCCCGGGACUGAACCCUACCUCUGCUGUCACUGUGACCUUGCAUGUUGUCACUGUGUGUCACAAAAUCUCAAAUGUAAGACGGGAUUAGUAAUAGUACCUGCCUGUGGAGCUGGGUGGUUGAGAGGAUUAAAUAAAAUAAAUAAUCUGCAUUAUGACAGCUUCCAGCCAAGACUGCGUAGCAGGGACCAGAUUUACCCUUCUGCCUAAAACAAUGAAAAAACUGGUUAAAAUAUAUGAAACUGCAGACCAUGAAAAAGAGUGAUCCCUGGGCUUCCCUGGUGGCACCGUGGUUAAGAAUCCACCUGCCAAUGCAGGGGACACGGGUUCGAGCCCUGGUCUGGGAAGAUCCCACAUGCCACGGAGCAACUAAGCCCGUGCGCCACAACUACUGAGUCUGCGCUCUAGAGCCCACGAGCC
Physeter macrocephalus (sperm whale) is the source of this 4645-nucleotide RNA transcript. It is a transcript of the gene named hes family bHLH transcription factor 4, with no coding region annotated. The transcript has 2 exons. Lineage: Eukaryota; Metazoa; Chordata; Mammalia; Artiodactyla; Physeteridae. The record is from RefSeq and is a predicted model, not a curated record.